CCUACGGGAGGCAGCAGUAAGGAAUAUUGGUCAAUGGAGGCAACUCUGAACCAGCCAUGCCGCGUGCAGGAAGAAGGCCCUAUGGGUCGUAAACUGCUUUUGUACCAGAGAAAACCCGAGUACGUGUACUCGGUUGAUAGUAUGGUAAGAAUAAGCAUCGGCUAACUUCGUGCCAGCAGCCGCGGUAAGACGAAGGAUGCAAGCGUUAUCCGGAUUCAUUGGGUUUAAAGGGUGCGUAGGCGGACUGAUAAGUCAGUGGUGAAAUCUCUCGGCUUAACCGAGAAACUGCCAUUGAUACUGUUAGUCUAGAGUAUAGAUGACGUUGGCGGAAUAUGACAUGUAGUGGUGAAAUACUUAGAUAUGUCAUAGAACACCGAUUGCGAAGGCAGCUAACGAAACUAUAACUGGCGCUGAGGCACGAAAGUGCGGGGAUCAAACAGGAUUAGAUACCCUGGUAGUCCGCACCGUAAACGAUGAUUACUCGUUGUUGGCAAUAUGACCGUCAGCGACCAAGCGAAAGCGAUAAGUAAUCCACCUGGGGAGUACGCCGGCAACGGUGAAACGUCAAANAGAGUAGAGNGNGAGAGNGCGAGCGACGACGAGGGGAGGAGG
RNAcentral lists this ribosomal RNA (612 nucleotides) under uncultured bacterium. Its description in RNAcentral is "bacterial SSU rRNA". It matches the Rfam family "Bacterial small subunit ribosomal RNA", at positions 338 to 948 of the family's 1533-position model. The record is from RNAcentral.